This 414-nucleotide ribosomal RNA is filed under the name Triticum aestivum (bread wheat). RNAcentral describes it as "partial small subunit ribosomal RNA". The record is from RNAcentral. Lineage: Eukaryota; Viridiplantae; Streptophyta; Magnoliopsida; Poales; Poaceae.
AUGGCUGUUGCGCAUGUCUUCUUCUCCUUCUCCGUUCAGCCACUACACCAUUCGCCUUCACUGGUGGCCAGAAUUGGUGGCCGGAGCGGACGCAACCAUGCCUUCUUCCGCCCGUCAACCGUGAUAUGUCCCGGGCGGGAGCCCGCGUCACAUGAGCUGCCCGAUGAUUUUGACUUCCAGGAAAGCCUAAGGAAUGUUCAAACAUUGUUGCAUCACCAUCCGACGUGUCGACGAGGCUUAUUGACCACUGUUGAUCACCUCAAGCGCCUCUGCAUUGACCGCUAUUUCCAAGAUGAGAUUGACACCAUCAUGGACUCAUGUGCAGAUCUCAUCCAUAGUGACGAUCUGCUUGAUGCAACGCUUUCCAUGAGGCUGAUGAGAGAAGCUGGAUAUUAUGUUUCGGCAGGUCAAUAA